RNAcentral lists this ribosomal RNA (393 nucleotides) under uncultured bacterium. RNAcentral describes it as "partial 16S ribosomal RNA". It matches the Rfam family "Bacterial small subunit ribosomal RNA", at positions 523 to 918 of the family's 1533-position model. The record is from RNAcentral.
AUACGGAGGAUCCGAGCGUUAUCCGGAUUUAUUGGGUUUAAAGGGUGCGCAGGCGGGAGAUUAAGUCGGCGGGGAAAAUUUUCAGCUCCACUUUAAAAGAGGCUUCGAAACUGGGUUCCUUGGGUGUAGAUGAAGUAGGCGGAAUUUGUGGUGUAGCGGUGAAAUGCAUAGAUAUCACGAGGAACUCCGAUUGCGCAGGCAGCUUACUAAACUACUACUGACGCUCAGGCACGAAGGCGUGGGGAUCAAACAGGAUUAGAUACCCUGGUAGUCCACGCAGUAAACGAUGAUUACUAGCUGUUUGCGAUACAAUGUAAGCGGCUGAGCGAAAGCGUUAAGUAAUCCACCUGGGGAGUACGUUCGCAAGAAUGAAACUCAAAGGAAUUGACGGGG